This 484-nucleotide ribosomal RNA is filed under the name uncultured bacterium. RNAcentral's name for it is "partial 16S ribosomal RNA". It matches the Rfam family "Bacterial small subunit ribosomal RNA", at positions 30 to 507 of the family's 1533-position model. The record is from RNAcentral.
AUUGAACGCUGGCGGCAGGCCUAACACAUGCAAGUCGAGCGGAUGAAGGGAGCUUGCUCCUGGAUUCAGCGGCGGACGGGUGAGUAAUGCCUAGGAAUCUGCCUGGUAGUGGGGGAUAACGUCCGGAAACGGGCGCUAAUACCGCAUACGUCCUGAGGGAGAAAGUGGGGGAUCUUCGGACCUCACGCUAUCAGAUGAGCCUAGGUCGGAUUAGCUAGUUGGUGGGGUAAAGGCCUACCAAGGCGACGAUCCGUAACUGGUCUGAGAGGAUGAUCAGUCAAACUGGAACUGAGACAAGGUCCAGACUCCUACGGGAGGCAGCAGUGGGGAAUAUUGGACAAUGGGCGAGAGCCUGAUCCAGCCAUGCCGCGUGUGUGAAGAAGGUCUUCGGAUUGUAAAGCACUUUAAGUUGGGAGGAAGGGCAGUAAGUUAAUACCUUGCUGUUUUGACGUUACCAACAGAAUAAGCACCGGCUAACUUCGUG